CACACGCCCGUCACACCAUGGGAGUGGGGUUCACCAGAAGCAGGUGGCCUAACCGCAAGGAAGGCGCCUACCACGGUGAGCUUCAUGACUGGGGUG
This 96-nucleotide ribosomal RNA is filed under the name uncultured bacterium. Its description in RNAcentral is "partial 16S ribosomal RNA". It matches the Rfam family "Bacterial small subunit ribosomal RNA", at positions 1386 to 1482 of the family's 1533-position model. The record is from RNAcentral.